UACGUAGGGUCCGAGCGUUGUCCGGAAUUACUGGGCGUAAAGAGCUCGUAGGUGGUUUGUCGCGUUGUUCGUGAAAACUCACAGCUCAACUGUGGGCGUGCGGGCGAUACGGGCAGACUAGAGUACUGCAGGGGAGACUGGAAUUCCUGGUGUAGCGGUGGAAUGCGCAGAUAUCAGGAGGAACACCGGUGGCGAAGGCGGGUCUCUGGGGGCGAUCUGACGCUGAGGCGCGAAAGCGUGGGGAGCAAACCGG
RNAcentral lists this ribosomal RNA (253 nucleotides) under uncultured bacterium. Its description in RNAcentral is "partial 16S ribosomal RNA". It matches the Rfam family "Bacterial small subunit ribosomal RNA", at positions 524 to 776 of the family's 1533-position model. The record is from RNAcentral.